GAUGAACGCUAGCGGCAGGCCUAAUACAUGCAAGCUGAACGGUAAGUUUUGUAGCAAUACGAGACCUAGAGUAGCGUAAGGGUGCGUAACACGUAUGCAAUCUGCCCUGUACAGAGGGAUAGCUCCCCGAAAGGGGAAUUAAUACUUCGUAAGAUAAUUGGCCGGCAUCGGUUGAUUAUGAAAGCUGAGGCGGUACAGGAUGAGCAUGCGUCUGAUUAGCUAGUUGGUAGUGUAAAGGACUACCAAGGCGAUGAUCAGUAGGGGAACUGA
RNAcentral lists this ribosomal RNA (270 nucleotides) under uncultured bacterium. RNAcentral's name for it is "partial 16S ribosomal RNA". It matches the Rfam family "Bacterial small subunit ribosomal RNA", at positions 28 to 295 of the family's 1533-position model. The record is from RNAcentral.